AAUAUACAAAUCCAAAUAUGCCAAUACUACUGUACAUACGUGCUUAAGUAUGUUGUUAGUAGUAAAUUGUGGAAUGGUCUGGAUGGUAUUUAUCCUUCUUCAUACUGAAAUUUACUAUUUUUAUAACUAGAAGUGUUCCCUUACUAACUAGCGAUGGUUCUUGGCAUACACUGAGUGAUUGAGGAUAUAAUACGAAGUGGAGUUGUUAUGUAGUUCCACCUUGAAACUAUGGCACUUAUCACCAUCUAGAACAAAAUGUGGAAAAUCCCCACUUCCACUGUCCUCUCCAAAGUGUCUGAGGCCUCAGCUAGAAAGUUUUGAAGACUGUGAAGGAAUCUAUUACUGAGAACUGCAAUCAGCCAAAGCCUCGUUCACUCACCUGUCUGAUGGUUAAUGCUGGGUGUCAGCUGGGACCUCAGCUGGGGCUGUCAUUGAGAACACCUACUUGGGUCUUUCCAUAUGUCUUUUUGGGCUUCCUCAUACCAUGAUGGCUGGGUUCCAGAAGAGUGGCCCAAGAGAACCAGGUAAGAGCUAUAUCACAUUUUGUGACCUAGUUUUAGAAGUCACAGCCUGCUGUAAUCACAA
Molecule: long non-coding RNA, 585 nt
Organism: Hippopotamus amphibius kiboko
Lineage: Eukaryota; Metazoa; Chordata; Mammalia; Artiodactyla; Hippopotamidae
Exons: 3
Source: RefSeq, a predicted model, not a curated record